GUGGGGAAUAUUGCGCAAUGGGCGAAAGCCUGACGCAGCCAUGCCGCGUGUGUGAAGAAGGCCUUAGGGUUGUAAAGCACUUUCAAUUGGGAAGAAAGGUUGCGUGUUAAUAGCACGUAGCUGUGACGUUACCUUUAGAAGAAGCACCGGCUAACUCCGUGCCAGCAGCCGCGGUAAUACGGAGGGUGCGAGCGUUAAUCGGAAUUACUGGGCGUAAAGCGCGCGUAGGCGGUUUGUUAAGUCGGAUGUGAAAGCCCCGGGCUCAACCUGGGAAUUGCAUUCGAUACUGGCCGACUAGAGUACGAGAGAGGGAGGUAGAAUUCCACGUGUAGCGGUGAAAUGCGUAGAUAUGUGGAGGAAUACCGGUGGCGAAGGCGGCCUCCUGGCUCGAUACUGACGCUGAGGUGCGAAAGCGUGGGUAGCAAACAGGAUUAGAAACCCUAGUAGUCC
Molecule: ribosomal RNA, 450 nt
Filed under: uncultured bacterium
Lineage: Bacteria
Description: bacterial SSU rRNA
Rfam family: Bacterial small subunit ribosomal RNA
Source: RNAcentral